This 1916-nucleotide long non-coding RNA is filed under the name Triticum aestivum (bread wheat). RNAcentral describes it as "long non-coding RNA (TAES_LNC004839)". Lineage: Eukaryota; Viridiplantae; Streptophyta; Magnoliopsida; Poales; Poaceae. The record is from RNAcentral.
CCCACCGCCACCUAGGCAGAUACUUACUAUGCUCAAAGAGAAAAAAAGCUAUGAUUCUUCCUCUGCUUAGCUCUGCUUUAAGGCCACACCUCCAUGCCGCAAAUAAGCAGUGGCUUUACAGUGAGAUUCUGCACCGGUGCCGUUGCCACAUACUCUAGUUUAGCAGCCAGCUGCUGCUCCUGCUGCUGCUGCUCCUGCUGCUGCUGCUGCUGUGCAGUCGAAUCUCUCUAGAGGAAAAUUCGAGUGCCCGCAAGACCAUCCUACUUUCUUGUGGAACACAUGCCACCACUGCUGGAAACGGAUAACGGCCACUCAACCUACCAGCCAGAUAACAGUCGCCAUCCGAUGGUGUAAAAAGUUCAAAAGUUUUCUUACUCGAGAUCUCGGCUCUCAGCUCAUGCAUGCACCGGGCGCCAGAUUCAGAUUCAGACACCCCCUGCCGCACAGUGCUGGUACAGAUAAUGAUGAGCCCGGUUAAAUUAGCACCUAACAAAGGACACGACGGGACGUGAGAGAUUUUAUUAUCGAACUCAUUCACUACGGAGCGCAAGGUUUUAGGUAGGCACAGCCUCUUGCUCCACUAGGAGUAUUUCAUUUCGUUUCAGGUACUAGUACUCCUACAAGUUUCUUCUCUCUUUUCUGCCGGUGCAUGGACGGCAGCGCUGACCUGCAAACAAUUGGCAAUGCUCGAGUCUUGGCGACCAAUUAUUUGGCCAACCCGUCAUGCAUCUUGACGUACUCCACGCAACAAACUUGAUUUUUUUUUAUUAUGGAAGCAACAAACUUGUUAACAGUGCUGAUGACGGUAUUAAAAGUAGUUUUAAAAUCCCUUGAGAUAGUUUAGCUACAAAGGCAAAGAAAAUGAGACAAGAGAUGCCAUGCUUGAUUCAGUAACAUGGACGAUGUUCAUUAUGGAAAGAGUUCAGUGAAGUGGGCGAUGUUUACUCAAUCUAGCAUAAAGGAAAAACUGCACAGUGAGUGAAUGAUGUGUGGCCUUUAAAUCCCGGCAGCCAGCGAGGAGGUGUGACCGCCACACUUGACUCGCUCCUCGCCUCGCCUUCCCUUCUCCCCUCUCUUCUCUUCUGUACCAGUGACAAGUGCCUCUCUUCUCCUCUCCGGCCAACACCGGAAACCUCCGACGGCUCCCUCCGUCCGCCGGCCAAUGCCGCCGCCGCCAGGGCGCGAGGGUCGUCGUAGUGGACACCGCCGCCGGCGACUCCUGUGGAUGGAGUCCGCGCUGCCCCUGAUGCGGUGGACGGGUUAACUGAUUUGUUGGAGCUGCGUGCAACCGUGCGUGCAUGCAUGCAUGCAUGUAGGCAAGUCUAAUGCUUGGCUGUUGUGUUCUCAUCUGUUGGUUCCACUUGGCUGUAAUUACUACCAGAUUCCCUUUCUUCUGUACUACUACUGUAUGUGUUCUUCAGUUCUUGGCUGGCAAGGCGCGCUUUGCUUCUUCGUUUCCCAUGCAUCUACGCGUCUCCUGAUUUCUGGCCGACGAUGCCUUUGUGUGUUUAAUUACUCGAUCCAUCUGUGUAAUUCCCUUGUGGCCUUUUGUGUUGGCUGAUUGCUUUCAACGCUUUAUCUGCAUGACAAUGCGCAAACCGACCUCCUGCGCGAGGCGUACUGCGGAGGCGAUCAGAGUCGGAGUGAUUUGUGGAAUUUUCAGUAGUACUCCCUCUGUGAAGAAAUAUAAGAGCGUUUAGAUUAGAUCACGGAGGGAGUACUAAUGCUACCUUGUGAUAGCUGCUAGCUGUAAAUGAAUGCCAAUCAAGUACCCAGCACUUCUGAUCUUUCCAAGCAAGUACCCAUGUUAAAUCGACGGUGAAACCAGACGAAAACUGAUACAACUUGGCCACACGUAGACUACUCUCAAAGCAUGAAUCCCCGCGACCGCAAAGACGGGCCUUCAUAAAGCUCCC